RNAcentral lists this ribosomal RNA (497 nucleotides) under uncultured bacterium. RNAcentral's name for it is "partial 16S ribosomal RNA". It matches the Rfam family "Bacterial small subunit ribosomal RNA", at positions 28 to 507 of the family's 1533-position model. The record is from RNAcentral.
GAUGAACGCUGGCGGCGUGCCUAAUACAUGCAAGUCGAGCGAACAGACGAGGAGCUUGCUCCUCUGACGUUAGCGGCGGACGGGUGAGUAACACGUGGAUAACCUACCUAUAAGACUGGGAUAACUUCGGGAAACCGGAGCUAAUACCGGAUAAUAUAUUGAACCGCAUGGUUCAAUAGUGAAAGACGGUUUUGCUGUCACUUAUAGAUGGAUCCGCGCCGCAUUAGCUAGUUGGUAAGGUAACGGCUUACCAAGGCAACGAUGCGUAGCCGACCUGAGAGGGUGAUAGGCCACACUGGAACUGAGACACGGUCCAGACUCCUAAGGGAGGCAGCAGUAGGGAAUCGUCCGCAAUGGGCGAAAGCCUGACGGAGCAACGCCGCGUGAGUGAUGAAGGUCUUCGGAUCGUAAAACUCUGUUAUUAGGGAAGAACAAAUGUGUAAGUAACUAUGCACGUCUUGACGGUACCUAAUCAGAAAGCCACGGCUAACUACGUG